This 240-nucleotide ribosomal RNA is filed under the name uncultured bacterium. Its description in RNAcentral is "partial 16S ribosomal RNA". It matches the Rfam family "Bacterial small subunit ribosomal RNA", at positions 94 to 334 of the family's 1533-position model. The record is from RNAcentral.
AGCGGCGGACGGGUGAGUAACGCGUGGGUAACCUGCCUCAUACAGGGGGAUAACAGUUAGAAAUGACUGCUAAUACCGCAUAAGACCACGGUACCGCAUGGUACAGUGGUAAAAACUCCGGUGGUAUGAGAUGGACCCGCGUCUGAUUAGGUAGUUGGUGGGGUAACGGCCUACCAAGCCGACGAUCAGUAGCCGACCUGAGAGAGUGACCGGCCACAUUGGGACUGAGACACGGCCCAG